UAAGAAACGUGACUUUAGUUUUUAAGGUGAGU
This 32-nucleotide non-coding RNA is filed under the name Rattus norvegicus (Norway rat). Lineage: Eukaryota; Metazoa; Chordata; Mammalia; Rodentia; Muridae. The record is from RNAcentral.